GAUUGAUGGCGAGUGGCGAACGGGUGAGUAAUACAUCGGAACGUGCCCUGUAGUGGGGGAUAACUAGUCGAAAGAUUAGCUAAUACCGCAUACGACCUGAGGGUGAAAGUGGGGGACCGCAAGGCCUCAUGCUAUAGGAGCGGCCGAUGUCUGAUUAGCUAGUUGGUGAGGUAAAGGCUCACCAAGGCGACGAUCAGUAGCUGGUCUGAGAGGACGAUCAGCCACACUGGGACUGAGACACGGCCCAGACUCAUACGGGAGGCAGCAGUGGGGAAUUUUGGACAAUGGGCGAAAGCCUGAUCCAGCAAUGCCGCGUGUGUGAAGAAGGCCUUCGGGUUGUAAAGCACUUUUGUCCGGAAAGAAAUGGCUCUGGUUAAUACCUGGGGUCGAUGACGGUACCGGAAGAAUAAGGACCGGCUAACUACGUGCCAGCAGCCGCGGUAAUACGUAGGGUCCAAGCGUUAAUCGGAAUUACUGGGCGUAAAGCGUGCGCAGGCGGUUGUGCAAGACCGAUGUGAAAUCCCCGAGCUUAACUUGGGAAUUGCAUUGGUGACUGCACGGCUAGAGUGUGUCAGAGGGGGGUAGAAUUCCACGUGUNGCAGUGAAAUGCGUANAGAUGUGGAGGAAUACNGAUGNNGAAGGCAGCCCCCUGGGAUAACACUGACGCUCAUGCACGAAAGNGUGGGGAGCAAACAGGAUUAGAUACNNUGGUAGUCCACGCCCUAAACGAUGUCAACUAGUUGUCCGGGAUUCAUUUCCUUAGUAACGUAGCUAACGCGUGAAGUUGACCGCGUGGGGAGUUCGGUCGCAUGAUUAAAACUCAAAGGAAUUGGGGGGGACCCACACAAGCGGGGGAUGGUGUGGAUUAAUUGGAUGCAACGAGAAAAACCUUACCUUCCCUUGACAUGUCACUAACGAAGCAGAGAUGCGUUCGCUGCUGGAAAGAGAAAGAGGACACAGGUGCUGCAUGGCUGUCGUCAGCUCGUGUCGUGAGAUGUUGGGUUAAGUCCCGCAACGAGCGCAUCCCUUGUCUCUAGUUGAUUCGAAAGGGCACUCUAGAGAGACUGCCGGUGACAAACCGGAGGAAGGUGGGGAUGACGUCAAGUCAUCAUGGCCCUUAUGGGUAGGGCUUCACACGUCAUACAAUGGUGCGUACAAAGGGUUGCCAAGCCGCGAGGUGGAGCUAAUCCCAGAAAACCCAUCGUAGUCCGGAUUGUAGUCUGCAACUCGACUACGUGAAGUC
Molecule: ribosomal RNA, 1243 nt
Filed under: uncultured bacterium
Lineage: Bacteria
Description: bacterial SSU rRNA
Rfam family: Bacterial small subunit ribosomal RNA
Source: RNAcentral